This 329-nucleotide ribosomal RNA is filed under the name uncultured eukaryote. RNAcentral's name for it is "partial 18S ribosomal RNA". It matches the Rfam family "Eukaryotic small subunit ribosomal RNA", at positions 1470 to 1796 of the family's 1831-position model. The record is from RNAcentral.
CCCUUAGAUGUUCUGGGCCGCACGCGCGCUACACUGACACGUUCAUCAAGUCUAUAACCUUGACCGGGAGGUCUGGGUAAUCUUUUAAAAACGUGUCGUGCUGGGGAUAGAUUAUUGCAAUUAUUAAUCUUCAACGAGGAAUUCCUAGUAAACGCAAGUCAUCAACUUGCAUUGAUUACGUCCCUGCCCUUUGUACACACCGCCCGUCGCUACUACCGAUUGAAUGAUUUAGUGAGUACCAGGGACCGAGCGCUUUGGUUGGGUUUCCUUCCCUAGCGCUUGGGAACUGUCGCAAACUUGACCAUUUAGAGGAAGUAAAAGUCGUAACA